This 357-nucleotide transfer-messenger RNA is filed under the name Escherichia coli. Its description in RNAcentral is "partial transfer-messenger RNA". It matches the Rfam family "transfer-messenger RNA". From Rfam's summary of the family: Bacterial tmRNA, also known as 10Sa RNA or SsrA, is named for its dual tRNA and mRNA-like properties. Lineage: Bacteria; Pseudomonadati; Pseudomonadota; Gammaproteobacteria; Enterobacterales; Enterobacteriaceae. The record is from RNAcentral.
GGGGCUGAUUCUGGAUUCGACGGGAUUUGCGAAACCCAAGGUGCAUGCCGAGGGGCGGUUGGCCUCGUAAAAAGCCGCAAAAAAUAGUCGCAAACGACGAAAACUACGCUUUAGCAGCUUAAUAACCUGCUUAGAGCCCUCUCUCCCUAGCCUCCGCUCUUAGGACGGGGAUCAAGAGAGGUCAAACCCAAAAGAGAUCGCGUGGAAGCCCUGCCUGGGGUUGAAGCGUUAAAACUUAAUCAGGCUAGUUUGUUAGUGGCGUGUCCGUCCGCAGCUGGCAAGCGAAUGUAAAGACUGACUAAGCAUGUAGUACCGAGGAUGUAGGAAUUUCGGACGCGGGUUCAACUCCCGCCAGCU